CAUGCAAGUCGAGCGGAUGACGGGAGCUUGCUCCUUGAUUCAGCGGCGGACGGGUGAGUAAUGCCUAGGAAUCUGCCUGGUAGUGGGGGACAACGUUUCGAAAGGAACGCUAAUACCGCAUACGUCCUACGGGAGAAAGCAGGGGACCUUCGGGCCUUGCGCUAUCAGAUGAGCCUAGGUCGGAUUAGCUAGUUGGUGGGGUAAUGGCUCACCAAGGCGACGAUCCGUAACUGGUCUGAGAGGAUGAUCAGUCACACUGGAACUGAGACACGGUCCAGACUCCUACGGGAGGCAGCAGUGGGGAAUAUUGGACAAUGGGCGAAAGCCUGAUCCAGCCAUACCGCGUGUG
This 349-nucleotide ribosomal RNA is filed under the name uncultured Pseudomonas sp. RNAcentral's name for it is "bacterial SSU rRNA". It matches the Rfam family "Bacterial small subunit ribosomal RNA", at positions 54 to 405 of the family's 1533-position model. The record is from RNAcentral. Lineage: Bacteria; Pseudomonadati; Pseudomonadota; Gammaproteobacteria; Pseudomonadales; Pseudomonadaceae.